Molecule: ribosomal RNA, 1068 nt
Filed under: Cladosporium cladosporioides
Lineage: Eukaryota; Fungi; Ascomycota; Dothideomycetes; Cladosporiales; Cladosporiaceae
Description: SSU rRNA
Rfam family: Eukaryotic small subunit ribosomal RNA
Source: RNAcentral
CAUGUCUAAGUAUAAGCAACUAUACGGUGAAACUGCGAAUGGCUCAUUAAAUCAGUUAUCGUUUAUUUGAUAGUACCUUACUACAUGGAUAACCGUGGUAAUUCUAGAGCUAAUACAUGCUAAAAACCUCGACUUCGGAAGGGGUGUAUUUAUUAGAUAAAAAACCAAUGCCCUUCGGGGCUCCUUGGUGAAUCAUAAUAACUUAACGAAUCGCAUGGCCUUGCGCCGGCGAUGGUUCAUUCAAAUUUCUGCCCUAUCAACUUUCGAUGGUAGGAUAGUGGCCUACCAUGGUAUCAACGGGUAACGGGGAAUUAGGGUUCGACUCCGGAGAGGGAGCCUGAGAAACGGCUACCACAUCCAAGGAAGGCAGCAGGCGCGCAAAUUACCCAAUCCCGACACGGGGAGGUAGUGACAAUAAAUACUGAUACAGGGCUCUUUUGGGUCUUGUAAUUGGAAUGAGUACAAUUUAAAUCCCUUAACGAGGAACAAUUGGAGGGCAAGUCUGGUGCCAGCAGCCGCGGUAAUUCCAGCUCCAAUAGCGUAUAUUAAAGUUGUUGCAGUUAAAAAGCUCGUAGUUGAACCUUGGGCCUGGCUGGCCGGUCCGCCUCACCGCGUGUACUGGUCCGGCCGGGCCUUUCCUUCUGGGGAACCUCAUGCCCUUCACUGGGCGUGCUGGGGAACCAGGACUUUUACUUUGAAAAAAUUAGAGUGUUCAAAGCAGGCCUUUGCUCGAAUACAUUAGCAUGGAAUAAUAGAAUAGGACGUGUGGUUCUAUUUUGUUGGUUUCUAGGACCGCCGUAAUGAUUAAUAGGGAUAGUCGGGGGCAUCAGUAUUCAAGCGUCAGAGGUGAAAUUCUUGGAUUGCUUGAAGACUAACUACUGCGAAAGCAUUUGCCAAGGAUGUUUUCAUUAAUCAGUGAACGAAAGUUAGGGGAUCGAAGACGAUCAGAUACCGUCGUAGUCUUAACCAUAAACUAUGCCGACUAGGGAUCGGGCGGUGUUAGUAUUUUGACCCGCUCGGCACCUUACGAGAAAUCAAAGUUUUUGGGUUCUGGGGGGAGNNUNNNCG